CGCCUGUGAAUUGAAUCUUGUCUUGGACUCUUGUCGGCGUUUGAUUUAAAAAUUUACAUUACAUUUACAAUUACACUUGGUCCUUCCGAAUGUUGAACGAUUUAGUAAAAAAAGAUCGGUUCACGCGAUCGUUUAAUUGGUAAACGCUAUCAUGAUAUGCAAGUUGUGAUCAUCUAUUUUAGGUAUCUCUGAACAAAAACUCGAAUAUACGUGUAUGUAUAUUCUUGAUGUCCAGAAAAGCAAUAUCAUCGCUAGAGGCAUAUGUGGCACACGUGAUCUCAGAAAACACCUGUGCACGUGUGACUUUUGUACACUACGAAAAGCUGUACGUUCCAAUGGCACGCUCAUUCCAACUGAAACCGUUGCCGCACAGAUAUUGACGAUCCUCGAAAUAAAUCGUACGGGCUCCGUACCAAAGAUAUUUCUUCGAAAAACGAUCUACAAGGAAAUAUCAUCGAGAAACGGUCGGGUGUUCUCCGAGAGUAUCGAAACAUUUUCGAACGACGAGUAUCGAAGACGUGUUCCGUUCAACAUAUGCGAAGGUUCGAAAUUGAAGAAAAUCAACCCGUUCGUCUCAACAACAAUCAAGUAACAAAGUAUGUUUGUUUGCGUCUUUCUAACCGUGAAUUUAACAAAGACCCAAGAAGAAAGUGUUACCAAAUCGAUUCACGUUUCUUUUACUUGCAUAGACCUCACGGAAACGGAGGGUAUCCUAAUAUAAUAGAUGCCUAAAUUGACGACGACGCGCCAUCGCGACGAAAGAAAAGAUCACGGAACAGAACAGAGAGAAUACAUCGAAAGAUAAAGAUGCCAGUACACUGGCCUACUACCUACAGCCCUUUGGCGUAGAUUGCGUUAAAUCGAUCAAAUGGACCCGCAUGAGAAAAUGGACCAUGGACGUAUUCACGAGACAACGAUGGCAACGUUUAUCACGAAAUGACCAAACUAUUUCGAUGCGCAGGCUACUCUAACGGUCGUGUAUCGUGUAUCGUGAAUCGGUGGAUCGGUGGAUCGGUGAAUCGGUGGAUCGGUGGAUCGUGGAUCGUGGAUCGUGGGCUGUACUGUGAAGCGCAUUCGGUGGCAUAGGGGAGCGCUGCGCUGCAUGCACGCAUUAAUCAACGAGCUGUCCUUUUCCUCCAUUAAACUCUGUAGCUGUACGACCAGCGUCAUUCUUUGUCAAUUUGCACGGCGGACCUCCUCGCGGGUCCUUCGACCAAUUAUUUCUUUGACGAACGACAAUGUUUCCAUCCUCGUUGUUUGGUAAUCGUUGCCGCUGGUACAUAGAUAUGUCAGUCCCUGACCAUAAAAAAACGACCGAAAAUGUUGAACGUCGGCGUCGGUGAUUCACGCGACGACCAACCCACUACUUACAAUUACUUUUCACUGAUAAAUCUAUUUUAGAUACUU
Hylaeus anthracinus is the source of this 1407-nucleotide long non-coding RNA. RefSeq lists it as uncharacterized. The transcript has 2 exons. The record is from RefSeq and is a predicted model, not a curated record. NCBI's taxonomy places the organism in Eukaryota, Metazoa, Arthropoda, Insecta, Hymenoptera, Colletidae.